RNAcentral lists this ribosomal RNA (449 nucleotides) under uncultured marine bacterium. RNAcentral describes it as "bacterial SSU rRNA". It matches the Rfam family "Bacterial small subunit ribosomal RNA", at positions 508 to 957 of the family's 1533-position model. The record is from RNAcentral.
CCAGCAGCCGCGGUAAUACGAGGGGGGUUAGCGUUGUUCGGAAUUACUGGGCGUAAAGCGCACGUAGGCGGACUGGAAAGUUGGGGGUGAAAUCCCGGGGCUCAACCUCGGAACUGCCUCCAAAACUAUCAGUCUAGAGUUCGGGAGAGGUGAGUGGAAUUCCAAGUGUAGAGGUGAAAUUCGUAGAUAUUUGGAGGAACACCAGUGGCGAAGGCGGCUCACUGGCUCGAUACUGACGCUGAGGUGCGAAAGUGUGGGGAGCAAACAGGAUUAGAUACCCUGGUAGUCCACACCGUAAACGAUGAAUGCCAGUCGUCGCCAAGUAUACUUGUCGGUGACACACCUAACGGAUUAAGCAUUCCGCCUGGGGAGUACGGUCGCAAGAUUAAAACUCAAAGGAAUUGACGGGGGCCCGCACAAGCGGUGGACCAUGUGGUUUAAUUCGAAGC